ACGGACAUAUCACGUUGAAACACCGAUUUCCGUAAGAAUCACCGAAGAUAAGCAACGUCGAGCCUUGUCAGUACCUAGAUGGGUGACCGUUUGGGAA
This 97-nucleotide ribosomal RNA is filed under the name Acanthosepion pharaonis. Lineage: Eukaryota; Metazoa; Mollusca; Cephalopoda; Sepiida; Sepiidae. The record is from RNAcentral.